GACGAACGCUGGCGGCGUGCCUAAUACAUGCAAGUCGAACGGUAACAGGAAACAGCUUGCUGUUUCGCUGACGAGUGGCGGACGGGUGAGUAAUGUCUGGGAAACUGCCUGAUGGAGGGGGAUAACUACUGGAAACGGUAGCUAAUACCGCAUAACGUCGCAAGACCAAAGAGGGGGACCUUCGGGCCUCUUGCCAUCAGAUGUGCCCAGAUGGGAUUAGCUAGUAGGUGGGGUAACGGCUCACCUAGGCGACGAUCCCUAGCUGGUCUGAGAGGAUGACCAGCCACACUGGAACUGAGACACGGUCCAGACUCCUACGGGAGGCAGCAGUGGGGAAUAUUGCACAAUGGGCGCAAGCCUGAUGCAGCCAUGCCGCGUGUAUGAAGAAGGCCUUCGGGUUGUAAAGUACUUUCAGCGGGGAGGAAGGGAGUAAAGUUAAUACCUUUGCUCAUUGACGUUACCCGCAGAAGAAGCACCGGCUAACUCCGUGCCAGCAGCCGCGGGUAAUACGGAGGGUGCAAGCGUUAAUCGGAAUUACUGGGCGUAAAGCGCACGCAGGCGGUUUGUUAAGUCAGAUGUGCAAUCCCCCGGCUCAACCUGGGAACUGCAUCUGAUACUGGGCAACCUUGAUUCUCUCAUAGGGGGGGUAGGAAUUCAAGUUUUUACCUGCAAAUGCUCCCG
RNAcentral lists this ribosomal RNA (681 nucleotides) under uncultured Enterobacteriaceae bacterium. RNAcentral describes it as "bacterial SSU rRNA". It matches the Rfam family "Bacterial small subunit ribosomal RNA", at positions 28 to 727 of the family's 1533-position model. Lineage: Bacteria; Pseudomonadati; Pseudomonadota; Gammaproteobacteria; Enterobacterales; Enterobacteriaceae. The record is from RNAcentral.